AGUAGGGAAUAUUGCGCAAUGGAGGAAACUCUGACGCAGCGACGCCGCGUGAGCGAUGAAGGCUUUCGGGUCGUAAAGCUCUGUCGGGAGGGACGAAACACGAUUUGGCUAAUAUCCAAGUCGCUUGACGGUACCUCCAGAGGAAGCACCGGCUAACUACGUGCCAGCAGCCGCGGUAAUACGUAGGGUGCUAGCGUUGUUCGGAAUUAUUGGGCGUAAAGAGCGUGUAGGUGGUCUUGUAAGUCGGAUGUGAAAUCCCUGGGCUUAACCGAGGAAGUGCAUCCGAAACUACAUGGCUAGAGGACAGCAGAGGGAAGUGGAAUUCCUAGUGUAGAGGUGAAAUUCGUAGAUAUUAGGAGGAAUACCGGUGGCGAAGGCGGCUUCCUGGACUGUUCCUGACACUGAGACGCGAAAGCGUGGGUAGCAAA
This 428-nucleotide ribosomal RNA is filed under the name uncultured Pseudomonadota bacterium. RNAcentral describes it as "bacterial SSU rRNA". It matches the Rfam family "Bacterial small subunit ribosomal RNA", at positions 353 to 772 of the family's 1533-position model. The record is from RNAcentral. Lineage: Bacteria; Pseudomonadati; Pseudomonadota.